GAUGUUUGGUGCUUGAGGAGUUUCUUGGUGGAGCUUCCUGCUUGGGCUUCUCUUGAUACUGUUCCUCUUCCUUGUCCUGCUCUUGAUGGUUGCCUUUCUGGAUAUUAGGACUGCAGCAUUCUUGCUAGGGGAAGGACUGGGACUUCUGAACUGAAAACCUGGAGUCUAUUACUUUAGAACAUCCAAUUUCUCGGAAGAUCUCUGGCUGUUUUUUCUGGGGGGUAGGGUUGUUGUGUGUGUUUUUUUUAAUUAUUGUAAAUUACAAGAGAGUUUAGCUGCACUUAGACAAGAAUAUUUAAGCAGAGUCUCUGUUUCCCUCUUUCUUGCAGAGUAUCACUGGCACAUGUAGUUUGACCAAGGAAUUAUGUUUCUAGAAAAUUGCUGUUGUGUUGUAGGCAAAAAAGAAGCCCCAGAAUGUUUGAUUUUAAAUACAUGUAUUGUUUUGGUUCUUAGAAAAAAGAACUGUGUGUGUAUACAUAUAUUCUCAGUUUCUAAGAGAGCUACCUUUCAUAAAAGCUAACAAUAUGUCUUUUCUGUUAACCAAGCACAGUUUUACCAUAUGAAAUUCACUUUUCCCCAUUUCCUCAUUCCCUUCAUGACCAUUACAAAAAAAAUUAUCGUAAUUCAAUACAUUUUUCUUUAGUGUGAACUGUGUUGUGUUAUUGUAAGAUGUUAUUAAUUUUAUUCUUGUGUCAGAGUUUGCUCAAACUCUUUUCAACUCUAUGGGCAUCUUUAAGCUGAUUUCUGUGUGAAUUAGAUCAGACCUCUAAUCUUUGAAAGACUACUACUGUAUUAUAGCUAAGAUAGGUUCCUCUUAAGCAUUUGUUACAUAGUAAAUGAGACAAGUUUAAUCAAAGAUAUAUCUUUUGUUGAUUUACAUAACAGUUCCUAUGAGUUUUCCUUCUGAAUUGAGUCUGAAUUCAAUGCCUGAAGCCAAGCUUAAAACGUGGCAGAAGUAGGAACCUUAAAAAGAUUUUUAAAAAAGCUGGAUAUGCCCUUGGAUCAUAAAUAACUAACACUUCUACAGUGACUUCUAACGCCUCACAAUAUGAUGUUUCUUCUUGAGGUGAAAAGUAAAUGUCUGCUGGCCUUUAAUGUCACAUAUUCUUGCUACCAUAGAGAAAAACCUCCUGUAUGUGAAGGCUGAGGAAUAAGCAAAUGUAUUUCCCCAGUGUAUUUUUGAGACUCCAGAAGGUGUACAAGCCUAGGUUCUCAUUGCUGCUGCUGCAGAGUGUGCAGAGCUCUUGGAGGGUUCUACCUUGUCUGUUCAUCCUCUAUGGUUGCCCCAGAUGCUAAAAAGUUCAAGGAGCACUCCUUAUCUGUUUUUAGGCAAGUCAGCUGCUCCAUACAUGUUUUUAUUUUUCCUCUUUUCAGUUUCAGAAAAAGAAUUGGCUUUUAAGCAUCACGAAGACAAAUAUUUUGAGGUUUGUAACCUGAAUCAAUGCAUGAAAAGAAGCAUUUUAAAUGUGUCUAACACAUUUGAAUGGCUCUGCAGAGAUACUGGAUUAAUUGCAGCAGAUUUAAUCCCUACUCUCCUUGGAUUUUGAAUCAUUCCUUUGGGUUAGGUCAGCCCAACAGUAUUUUGAAAUAGUAUGCUGUGGAAUGCUUACAUGGCCUCAUCUGAAAAUAGCCACACUUUUUCUACGUAGAAACACAUUCAAAAACAUAGUUUCUAUAAUACAGAAAUCCAGUGUAACACAGAGCAUUAGAAGAUUGUGUUAGUGUUCCCUCCAAAGUUAAAGAAUCAUAGGUAUCCCACCCAUACUAGUAGUAGAAGUCAUUAAACAUCUAUCCUUGUUGAAUGAGGAAUCCAAUUAGACAUCUUUUCUUGCAGGGGAUAGAUCUGUAGCAGUUGUUUCAUGACAGAAAAAGUAAAUAAGAGUUUGAAAUUGCUGAAGUUACUGGAAUGCUAAUAAAUGGCAAUUACAGGCUGACUGAUGCUUGAAUACUGCCUUGCAUCCAAGCAAAAUUUUGGGACAUAUUUGAGUUAAUCAUGAUGAGCCAUUAUAUGUUGGGCAGAUUUUUUUGGCAUGAAUAAAUCGUGUAAAGAGCACUAUUAGAAAGAAAUGUCAUCUGUGUUGCCGUGUGGCCAGCCUGAGCACUGUAGGAACCUUUGGACAAGGGCAGAGUACAGAGGAAUAAGCUAAUAAAAAUUCAGAUACAAGUGUUAGUUAAUACUGGUCAAAAGGUGACACAGCUCUAAACUUGAAUUCAUGUUUUAAAAACUAUGCUAAACAUUUUUCUGUAAGGCUGCAGCACUGAACAGGUUAGCAGUCAAGCUCUCAGCUUUUUGGCUUCUCCUCUAGAUGCUCUUUAGCUCCUGUAGUCAGUCGUGCCUUCAAAGCUUUCUGAAAGGUGUAGUCUAGUUUAAUGCUGCUUGGUUGUUGUUUGUUUUCCCAGACUCCUCUGAUUUCAUCUUUCAGGGUGGAAAAAAAAAGUAAAAGAACCUCCUUUAAUUCCUGUAAGAACUAUCUUAAAAGAGACUGCUUCCCUAUGCACUGGCAGUUGUCUCUUUCAUGUGACUAAUUGGUAAGCAAUCUUUUGUCUACUAAAAGAAUGAAGUGCCCCUCUCUUUGAUGAAUGCUUACCAUUACCCAGGAAGCAGUAUCUUUCAGUCUUAUCUUACAUUGUGACUACAAUAGAUUUUACAUUUAAAAUGUGAUACAAACAUCUAAAUAAUUUAGCUUUCUGUUGUGUGUAAUUGACUCUUGACUUGGAGUAGGUACAGCAGCAAUCCAUUGCUAUAGAGUAAUAAAAUGUUAAAAGGUUUCUUCAA
Molecule: long non-coding RNA, 2776 nt
Organism: Pogoniulus pusillus (Red-fronted tinkerbird)
Lineage: Eukaryota; Metazoa; Chordata; Aves; Piciformes; Lybiidae
Exons: 2
Source: RefSeq, a predicted model, not a curated record